This 390-nucleotide ribosomal RNA is filed under the name Triticum aestivum (bread wheat). RNAcentral describes it as "partial small subunit ribosomal RNA". Lineage: Eukaryota; Viridiplantae; Streptophyta; Magnoliopsida; Poales; Poaceae. The record is from RNAcentral.
AUGAGGAAGAGCUCGAGCAGGGGCUCUGCCUCCGGUCCAAGAAGCAGCAGCAGCCGCCUCCUGCGCAGCCCCGCCGGGCCGCUCUCCGCGUCGCACGCUACCCACCAAGCUCCGCGCACGCGCGCGCUCGCACACGCCCAGAUGUGCUGCGCUCUCGUCGCCGGACUCCGCCACCUCACCGGCAACUACACCACCGGCGCCGCCGCCUCCAAUGAACCUAGCUCCGAUGCCAUGUUGGUUGGAGGACUCACAGUGGGGAAAUUUCCUGAAGCUUCAAUCACCUCAGGUGCUCUUCCUUCACCUCUGUAUAUACAAUGUACAAAUUACAUAUUAGCCCCUACACAGUUCUAUUUUCCUAAGCUAGGAUCUCCAACAGAUACACAGCUAUAG